This 397-nucleotide ribosomal RNA is filed under the name uncultured bacterium. RNAcentral's name for it is "partial 16S ribosomal RNA". It matches the Rfam family "Bacterial small subunit ribosomal RNA", at positions 338 to 732 of the family's 1533-position model. The record is from RNAcentral.
CCUACGGGUGGCAGCAGUGAGGAAUAUUGGUCAAUGGGCGCGAGCCUGACCCAGCCAAGUAGCGUGAAGGAUGACUGCCCUCCGGGUUGUAAACUUCUUUUAUAAAGGAAUACAGUGAGUGUCGUGUGCCUUUUUGUAUGUACUUUAUGAAUAAGGGUCGGCUAACUCCGGGCCAGCAGCCGCGGUAAUACGGAGGAUCCGAGCGUUACCCGGAUUUAUUGGGUUUAAAGGGAGCGUAGAUGGGUUGUUAAGUCAGUUGUGAAAGUUUGCGGCUCAACGGUAAAAUUGCAAUUGAUACUGGCAGCCUUGAGUACAGUAGAGGUUGGCGGAAUUCGUGGUGUAGCAGUGAAAUGCUUAGAUAUCACGAAGAACUCCGAUUGCGAAGGCAGCUAACUAA